RNAcentral lists this ribosomal RNA (486 nucleotides) under uncultured bacterium. Its description in RNAcentral is "partial 16S ribosomal RNA". It matches the Rfam family "Bacterial small subunit ribosomal RNA", at positions 30 to 507 of the family's 1533-position model. The record is from RNAcentral.
AUUGAACGCUGGCGGCAUGCCUUACACAUGCAAGUCGAACGGCAGCACGGGUGCUUGCACCUGGUGGCGAGUGGCGAACGGGUGAGUAAUACAUCGGAACAUGUCCUGUAGUGGGGGAUAGCCCGGCGAAAGCCGGAUUAAUACCGCAUACGAUCUACGGAUGAAAGCGGGGGACCUUCGGGCCUCGCGCUAUAGGGUUGGCCGAUGGCUGAUUAGCUAGUUGGUGGGGUAAAGGCCUACCAAGGCGACGCUCAGUAGCUGGACUGAGAGGACGACCAGCCACACUGGGACUGAGACACGGCCCAGACUCCUACGGGAGGCAGCAGUGGGGAAUUUUGGACAAUGGGCGAAAGCCUGAUCCAGCAAUGCCGCGUGUGUGAAGAAGGCCUUCGGGUUGUAAAGCACUUUUGUCCGGAAAGAAAUCCUUGGCUCUAAUACAGUCGGGGGAUGACGGUACCGGAAGAAUAAGCACCGGCUAACUACGUG